GGGUAGCUGGUUUGAGAGGAUGACCAGCCACAUUGGGACUGAGAUACGGCCCAGACUCCUACGGGAGGCAGCAGUGGGGAAUCUUGGACAAUGGACGAAAGUCUGAUCCAGCGACACCGCGUGGGGGAUGAAGGCUUUCGGGUCGUAAACUCCUUUUCUGGGGGAAGAAUAAGGGCGAGAGGAAAUGCUCGUCCGAUGACGGUACUCCAGGAAUAAGCAUCGGCUAACUUCGUGCCAGCAGCCGCGGUAAGACGAAGGAUGCGAGCGUUAUCCGGAAUUACUGGGCGUAAAGGGCGUCUAGGCGGUCAAGUAAGUCACCUGUGAAAGCCCUCGGCUUAGCCGAGGAAGGUCGGGUGAUACUGCUUGGCUUGGGUGUAGGAGAGGAGAGCGGAACUCACAGAGUAGCGGUGGAAUGCGUAGAUACUGUGAGGUACCCCGAUGGCGAAGGCAGCCCUCUGGCCUACUACCGACGCUGAAGCGCGAAAGCGUGGGGAGCAAAGGGGAUUAGAUACCCCCGUAGUCCACGCCGCAAACGAUGUUCACUUGGUGUCGGUCGCAUAUACAGAUCGGUGCCGGAGCUAACGCGUUAAGUGAACCGCCUGGGGAGUACGGCCGCAAGGCUAAAACUCAAGAGAAUUGACGGGUCCCCGCACAAGCGGUGGAGCACGUGGUUUAAUUCGACGAUAAGCGAAGAACCUCACCUGGGCUUGACAUACUAGUGGUAGGAACCUGAAAGGGGGACGACCCUGCCUUCGGGUAGGGAGCUAGUACAGGUGAUGCAUGGCUGUCGUCAGCUCGUGUCGUGGGAUGUAGGGUUAAGUCCCGAAACGAGCGCAACCCUUGUCGUUAGUUGCCAGCGGGUAAUGCCGGGGACUCUAACGAGACUGCUGGUGAAUAGCCGGAGGAAGGGGGAUGAUGUCAAGUCAUCAUGUCCCUUAUGCCCAGGGCGACACACAUGCUACAAUGGGAGGUACAGAGGGUCGCAAUACGGUAACGUGGAGCCAAUCUCAAAAAACCUCCCCCAGUUCGGAUUGUGGUCUGCAACUCGACCACAUGAAGCCGGAAUCGCUAGUAAUCGCGGGUCAGCCAUACCGCGGUGAAUAUGUACUCGGGGAUUGUACACACCGCCCGUCACACCAACCGAGUGGGGGGUACCUGAAGUCGCCUUUUUGAGGGCGCCUAAGGUAACCUUCGCAAGAGGGGUGAAGUCGUAACAAGGUA
This 1221-nucleotide ribosomal RNA is filed under the name metagenome. RNAcentral's name for it is "bacterial SSU rRNA". It matches the Rfam family "Bacterial small subunit ribosomal RNA", at positions 281 to 1498 of the family's 1533-position model. The record is from RNAcentral.